This is a non-coding RNA of Cariama cristata (Red-legged seriema), 74 nucleotides long. NCBI's taxonomy places the organism in Eukaryota, Metazoa, Chordata, Aves, Cariamiformes, Cariamidae. The record is from Rfam.
GCCCAGCUAGCUCAGUUGGUAGAGUAUGAGACUCUCAAUCUCAUGGUUGUGGGUUCAAGCCCCCACACUGGGAG